CCUACGGGUGGCAGCAGUCGAGAAUCAUUCACAAUGGGGGAAACCCUGAUGGUGCGACGCCGCGUGGGGGAAUGAAGGUCUUCGGAUUGUAAACCCCUGUCAUGUGGGAGCAAAUUAAAAAGAUAGUACCACAAGAGGAAGAGACGGCUAACUCUGUGCCAGCAGCCGCGGUAAUACAGAGGUCUCAAGCGUGGUUCGGAAUCACUGGGCGUAAAGCGUGCGUAGGCUGUUUCGUAAGUCGUGUGUGAAUGGGGCGGGCUCAACCCGCGGACGGCACAUGAUACUGCGAGACUAGAGUAAUGGAGGGGGAACCGGAAUUCUCGGUGUAGCAGUGAAAUGCGUAGAGAUCGAGAGGAACACUCGUGGCGAAGGCGGGUUCCUGGACAUUAACUGACGCUGAGGCACGAAGGCCAGGGGAGCGAAAGGGAUUAGAUACCCGUGUAGUC
RNAcentral lists this ribosomal RNA (446 nucleotides) under uncultured bacterium. RNAcentral's name for it is "partial 16S ribosomal RNA". It matches the Rfam family "Bacterial small subunit ribosomal RNA", at positions 338 to 795 of the family's 1533-position model. The record is from RNAcentral.